CGCGGUCAGAGGGCCGGGGCUGGAUGUCCACGACUCACUUGCAGACGGACGAGCAGAUGCUCAUCUCCAAGACAGUCAGGGAUGGCUUCCCAGGAUGAGGGAAAGAGCAUCGCAGGAAGCUGGGGGUCUGCGGGAGAAUGCGGCAGAGCUGGUCAUCCGCCUUGCGGCAGCCUGGAGCUUCUGACCUCGCAGCUUUCGGGCAUUCCUGGGGCGCGGGGGGGUGGGGGGUGCUGGCAGGUCCAGCCAGGAAUAAACCCCAGCCCCCCUCUGGACGCUCAACCAUGGCUGGAGGGUCUACCGGUGUUGGAGCCUCCGGACCAACCACGUUUCACCCAGUACUGACUUUUUUUCCAGCACGCACCCGUGUGACUGUUUUCUAAAAUGCAGGAAAUCACUGUUAAAUCCCGACGCGGCCGCGUGUCCACGGCCUCCGCGAGAGGGCACGUUGAAGACUGGCAAGUCUCGCACAAUCUUCUGUGUUUCCGUGUUGUGUGUUUACUGGGCUUAACUGCGCAGAUGUUUUUAAUGUGGAAGAAUGGGUAAAGAACACUGGAAAACUCACAGACGUUCGUGACCAGUGGACCCGCAUUCUGCACAGCAGUCAUGGAUCUGUAAUGGGAUAUGUAGCCCACCAGAGAGAAGGCCCAACACAGACCCUGGCCCUGUCCACAGCAGGCAGCACUAUCUGGAGACCUUGGGUCGGUGCUCUUCCUCACGCUACCUCAGCACUAUUAACGGGCUUCAGGAAGAUUGCAGACAACUCUCUGAGGACUACUUGUGAUAUAAUACACACAUCAUAUUGUCAAAGCCAUACAAUGCGUCUCUCCUCAGUGAUACUCUGGAACAGGAGUCCUCACACUUCUGAGAAGGGCCAAACAGCAGGAAAGGUGGUCAAGGGCGUAAAUCCACACUCAAAUCCAAUCCUUCUGGCUGCAAUCAAGGGGAAGCUAAGAGUGUCUGAGCAGCAAUUAUAAUUCUCCAUAGUGAGAAGGUUUCCAGAUGCUGCUCCUUUUCUGGAACGUUCUGGAAGUUUCUGGAAGGAACUAAA
RNAcentral lists this long non-coding RNA (1048 nucleotides) under Mustela putorius furo (domestic ferret). Its description in RNAcentral is "lncRNA (ENSMPUG00000026985.1)". Lineage: Eukaryota; Metazoa; Chordata; Mammalia; Carnivora; Mustelidae. The record is from RNAcentral.